GACGAACGCUGGCGGCGUGCUUAACACAUGCAAGUCGAACGGAAAGGCCCUGCUUGCAGGGUACUCGAGUGGCGAACGGGUGAGUAACACGUGGGUGAUCUGCCCUCCACUUCGGGAUAAGCCUGGUAAACUGGGUCUAAUACCGGAUAGGAGCCAUUCUUAGUGUGAUGGUUGGAAAGUUUUUUCGGUGUAGGAUGAGCUCGCGGCCUAUCAGCUUGUUGGUGGGGUAAUGGCCUACCAAGGCGGCGACGGGUAGCCGGCCUGAGGGGGUGGACGGCCAAAAUGGGGACGGGAAACGGGCCAGAAUCCUACGGGGGGCAGGAGGGGGGAAUAUUGGACAAAGGGCGGGAGCCUGAUGGAGCGACGCCGGGUGGGGGAAGACGGCCUUCGGGUUGUAAACUCCUUUCGGUAGGGAAGGAGCUUUUUGUGACGGUAACGAGAUAAGAAGCACCGGCUAACUACGUG
This 465-nucleotide ribosomal RNA is filed under the name uncultured bacterium. RNAcentral describes it as "partial 16S ribosomal RNA". It matches the Rfam family "Bacterial small subunit ribosomal RNA", at positions 28 to 507 of the family's 1533-position model. The record is from RNAcentral.